Molecule: ribosomal RNA, 444 nt
Filed under: uncultured bacterium
Lineage: Bacteria
Description: SSU rRNA
Rfam family: Bacterial small subunit ribosomal RNA
Source: RNAcentral
AGAACGAACGCUGGCGGCACGCCUAACACAUGCAAGUCGAGCGCCCAGCAAUGGGAGCGGCGGACGGGUGAGUAACACGUGGGAACAUGCCUUUCGGUACGGAACAACUGCGGGAAACUGCAGCUAAUGCCGUAUACGCCCUUACGGGGAAAGAUUUAUCGCCGAAAGAUUGGCCCGCGUCUGAUUGGCUAGUUGGUGAGGUAACGGCUCACCAAGGCUUCGAUCAGUAGCUGGUUUGAGAGAACGACCAGCCACAUUGGGACUGAGACACGGCCCAAACUCCUACGGGAGGCAGCAGUGGGGAAUCUUGGACAAUGGGGGAAACCCUGAUCCAGCGAUGCCGCGUGAGUGAUGAAGGCCUUCGGGUUGUAAAACUCUUUCGACGGGGACGAUAAUGACGGUACCCGUAGAAGAAGCUCCGGCUAACUUCGUGCCAGCAGCCGC